UAAGCAAAUCUUUAAAAGCAGCACCUUAAAUGUCAUGCUGGUCAUUAUAUCAGCAUCCUUACAUAUUAUAUACAGCACUCAUUAGAAAAUAUUAAAUUAUUCGAUGGAAGUUCCAAAUCUAUUUCUAUAUUCUCUAAUCUAACCAUCCAAACCCAUCAACAGCAUUGACCAAAUAAACAUCUCAAGUGGCUAUAAUGUUUUACCUCACAUAAAGAACACAUGGUAUGCAGAAAAAACUCGAACACCUUAAACAUUUGUAACAGAAGGUAGGGUUUGGUCCCAAUCUAUGAAGAAAUCAAUGAUUAGACAAUGUAUAUGCAUGGCUAACAUCAUGUAUAUGUGAAGCCCCAAGUAAAGAUCCAGUUAUAAUAAGUACAUAUAGACAAAGGGACCCCCGAAGUGGUAAAUCCAGAAAGUCCACUUUUCGACAUGGCCUGAAAGAAGACCUUAAAAGCUAGUGCGAAAUACAGGCGGCCUAAGUUCUAGAGAAUACACCUCCCCCAGAGCCUCACACAUGCACACACUUUAUUUUUCAGAUCUCCACAAAAAACCAAAAGCUAAAAGGAAGGCAGCCCGCGAUCGGCACAAACACACAUGGACCCCACAGACAUGAAUCGACUUCCAAGCCCCCAUGGUGCCUUGGGCUUUUCCAACUAGUAAAUAGCUAUAAAGGGAAUAAAACCAGUAUUCUUUUUAUUUAUUUUUUUGCGAAGUCUGAAGUCAGGUCCACAAGACCACAACUGAGGCACACAAUGAUGGUGCUGGUAAAAAGUGCUCAAUAUGCACCACCAUCCAUGGUAUACAAGCGUUGUUACCAUUUUUGCGCUUAGAUAUUCACCCUUCAACUUGGGAACAAAAAGAUGACAAGAGACAGUCAUGAAGUGCGAAGAAGUCACCCCAGUUGUCUAACAUGCACCAUAGAGAAUCUAAGAUAAAAUAGUACCCUGGAUUCACUUACAUACCUCACCUAGGCAUUGCUUAUACUUGCAGUACUCCUACUACUAGGUGAAGCAAACAGAUUCCGCAAGUUAGGAUUCCCAGUACACAAUCACCAUCUAAAAAGGAAGAGAAGGAACGAAAAAAAAAAGCAAUCUCCAUACUUUCAGUUUUACCUCCAAAUGAAAAUACCACUAAAUCUCAAAAGAACUCCGUUGACCAUUGUGGAAAAAGAAGAAGUUAAUCACGGUCCUGUAGGUGUUACCAUGUAAAUAAAAGGACACGUUCGGACUUAAAGCUUGCAUAGACUAAAAGAAUUAAAUGAUUCAGGCACACUUUACCAACCAAUUUUAGCAGUGAGGUUCACUGAACUGGCCAACUUAUUCGGGUCUGUUUAUGCAACAAAACAGGUGUAAAAGAUAACUUUUAAAC
Long non-coding RNA from Populus euphratica (Euphrates poplar), 1368 nucleotides. RefSeq lists it as uncharacterized. The record is from RefSeq and is a predicted model, not a curated record. The transcript has 2 exons. Lineage: Eukaryota; Viridiplantae; Streptophyta; Magnoliopsida; Malpighiales; Salicaceae.